Molecule: ribosomal RNA, 253 nt
Filed under: uncultured bacterium
Lineage: Bacteria
Description: partial 16S ribosomal RNA
Rfam family: Bacterial small subunit ribosomal RNA
Source: RNAcentral
UACGUAGGGUGCAAGCGUUAAUCGGAAUUACUGGGCGUAAAGCGUGCGCAGGCGGUGAUGUAAGACAGAUGUGAAAUCCCCGGGCUCAACCUGGGAACUGCAUUUGUGACUGCAUCGCUGGAGUGCGGCAGAGGGGGAUGGAAUUCCGCGUGUAGCAGUGAUAUGCGUAGAUAUGCGGAGGAACACCGAUGGCGAAGGCAAUCCCCUGGGCCUGCACUGACGCUCAUGCACGAAAGCGUGGGGAGCAAACAGG